RNAcentral lists this ribosomal RNA (2974 nucleotides) under Rhizobium leguminosarum. RNAcentral's name for it is "23S ribosomal RNA". It matches the Rfam family "Bacterial large subunit ribosomal RNA". The record is from RNAcentral. Lineage: Bacteria; Pseudomonadati; Pseudomonadota; Alphaproteobacteria; Hyphomicrobiales; Rhizobiaceae.
GAUUAAGUGUCGUAAGGGCAUUUGGUGGAUGCCUUGGCAUGCACAGGCGAUGAAGGACGUGAUACGCUGCGAAAAGCCGUGGGGAGCUGCGAAUGAGCUUUGAUCCAUGGAUCUCCGAAUGGGGCAACCCACCUUAAAUACCUAGAAAAUCUGUUUUGUUGCUUUCGUUGCGAGGGACUUCCUUCGUAGCGCAAAGCGCGUCGCCGGUUAUCCGGCGCGCCCGCAGGCCUUUGGCCGUGAGGACAAAACAGGUUUCUAGGUAUUGUGAUAAGGUAUCUACACCUGAAUACAUAGGGUGUAAGAAGCGAACGCAGGGAACUGAAACAUCUAAGUACCUGCAGGAAAGGACAUCAACCGAGACUCCGCAAGUAGUGGCGAGCGAACGCGGACCAGGCCAGUGGCAAUUGUGAUUAAAGUGGAACGCUCUGGAAAGUGCGGCCGUAGUGGGUGACAGCCCCGUACGCGUAGAUAUCAUGAUUGUCCUAGAGUAGGGCGGGACACGAGAAAUCCUGUCUGAACAUGGGGAGACCACUCUCCAAGCCUAAGUACUCGUGCAUGACCGNNNNNNNNNNNNNNNNNNNNNNNNNNNNNNNNNNNNNNNNNNNNNNNNNNNNNNNNNNNNNNNNNNNNNNNNNNNNNNNNNNNNNNNNNNNNNNNNNNUAUAGCGAACAAGUACCGUGAGGGAAAGGUGAAAAGCACCCCGACAAGGGGAGUGAAAUAGAACCUGAAACCGGAUGCCUACAAACAGUCGGAGCCCGCAAGGGUGACGGCGUACCUUUUGUAUAAUGGGUCAACGACUUAGUGUAACAAGCAAGCUUAAGCCGGUAGGUGUAGGCGAAGCGAAAGCGAGUCUGAAUAGGGCGAUUUAGUUUGUUGCAUUAGACCCGAAACCGAGUGAUCUAGCCAUGAGCAGGUUGAAGGUUGGGUAACACCAACUGGAGGACCGAACCCGCAUCUGUUGCAAUAGAUUGGGAUGACUUGUGGCUAGGGGUGAAAGGCCAAUCAAACUCGGAAAUAGCUGGUUCUCCGCGAAAUCUAUUUAGGUAGAGCGUCGAGCGAAUACCCCCGGGGGUAGAGCACUGGAUGGGCUAUGGGGACUCACCGUCUUACUGAUCCUAACCAAACUCCGAAUACCGGGGAGUACUACUCGGCAGACACACGGCGGGUGCUAACGUCCGUCGUGAAAAGGGCAACAACCCUAACCUCCAGCUAAGGUCCCCAAGUCAUGGCUAAGUGGGAAAGGAUGUGAGGAUCCCAAAACAACCAGGAUGUUGGCUUAGAAGCAGCCAUCAUUUAAAGAAAGCGUAACAGCUCACUGGUCUAAAUAAGGGUCUUUGCGCCGAAAAUGUAACGGGGCUGAAGCCAUGCACCGAAGCUGAGGAUGUGUAGCAAUACACGUGGUAGCGGAGCGUUCCGUAAGCUGAUGAAGGGAGACCUGUGAGGGCUCCUGGAGGUAUCGGAAGUGCGAAUGUUGACAUGAGUAACGAUAAAGAGGGUGAGAGACCCUCUCGCCGAAAGACCAAGGGUUCCUGCUUAAAGUUAAUCUGAGCAGGGUUAGCCGGCCCCUAAGGCGAGGCAGAAAUGCGUAGUCGAUGGGAACCACGUUAAUAUUCGUGGGCCUGGUGGUAGUGACGGAUUGCACAAGUUGUUCUGGUUUAUUGGAUUAUCAGGGCAGCGGAGCGGUUCCAGGAAAUAGCUCCACCGUAUAGACCGUACCCGAAACCGACACAGGUGGUCAGGUAGAGUAUACCAAGGCGCUUGAGAGAACUAUGUUGAAGGAACUCGGCAAAUUGCACGCGUAACUUCGGAAGAAGCGUGACCCCAUUUUACGCAAGUAUGAUGGGGUGGCACAGACCAGGGGGUAGCGACUGUUUAUCAAAAACACAGGGCUCUGCGAAGUCGCAAGACGACGUAUAGGGUCUGACGCCUGCCCGGUGCUGGAAGGUUAAGAGGAGAGGUGCAAGCUUUGAAUCGAAGCCCCAGUAAACGGCGGCCGUAACUAUAACGGUCCUAAGGUAGCGAAAUUCCUUGUCGGGUAAGUUCCGACCUGCACGAAUGGCGUAACGACUUCCCCGCUGUCUCCAACAUAGACUCAGUGAAAUUGAAUUCCCCGUGAAGAUGCGGGGUUCCUGCGGUCAGACGGAAAGACCCCGUGCACCUUUACUAUAGCUUUACACUGGCAUUCGUGUCGGCAUGUGUAGGAUAGGUGGUAGGCUUUGAAGCGGGGACGCCAGUUUCCGUGGAGCCAUCCUUGAAAUACCACCCUUAUCGUCAUGGAUGUCUAACCGCGGCCCGUCAUCCGGGUCCGGGACAGUGUAUGGUGGGUAGUUUGACUGGGGCGGUCGCCUCCGAAAGAGUAACGGAGGCGCGCGAUGGUGGGCUCAGACCGGUCGGAAAUCGGUCGUCGAGUGCAAUGGCAUAAGCCCGCCUGACUGCGAGACUGACAAGUCGAGCAGAGACGAAAGUCGGUCAUAGUGAUCCGGUGGUCCCGCGUGGAAGGGCCAUCGCUCAACGGAUAAAAGGUACGCCGGGGAUAACAGGCUGAUGACCCCCAAGAGUCCAUAUCGACGGGGUUGUUUGGCACCUCGAUGUCGGCUCAUCGCAUCCUGGGGCUGGAGCAGGUCCCAAGGGUUUGGCUGUUCGCCAAUUAAAGCGGUACGUGAGCUGGGUUCAGAACGUCGUGAGACAGUUCGGUCCCUAUCUGCCGUGGGUGUAGGAAUAUUGACAGGAUCUGUCCCUAGUACGAGAGGACCGGGAUGGACAUAUCUCUGGUGGACCUGUUGUCCUGCCAAGGGCAUAGCAGGGUAGCUAUAUAUGGACGGGAUAACCGCUGAAGGCAUCUAAGCGGGAAACCCACCUGAAAACGAGUAUUCCCUAUCAGAGCCGUGGAAGACGACCACGUUGAUAGGCCGGGUGUGGAAGUGCGGCAACGCAUGAAGCUUACCGGUACUAAUAGCUCGAUCGGCUUGAUCGU